UUGGUGCAGCUCUUUUCUGUAAAAUAUAUAAAGAAGUAUCAAUUUUAAAAAAAUAAAAAUAAUUUAAUCUAUAAAUUAAUAUUUUUAUGGACAAAUUUAUACACCUAUCAAUGAUUGAUUGUUGGAUAUCGUAGUCUUAGCUAGAGAAAAUAUAGUCUCAAAUUCAAGAAGAAAAUAGUAUAGGUGUAGAAAAAAUUAUAAAAAUUUUAGAAAAAAAAA
RNAcentral lists this long non-coding RNA (219 nucleotides) under Elaeis guineensis (African oil palm). RNAcentral's name for it is "long non-coding RNA (EGUI_LNC012409)". Lineage: Eukaryota; Viridiplantae; Streptophyta; Magnoliopsida; Arecales; Arecaceae. The record is from RNAcentral.